GACGGGGGGGGCAAGUGUUCUUCGGAAUGAUUGGGCGUAAAGAGCUCGUAGGCGGUCUGUCGCGUCGGCUGUGAAAACCCGGAGCUCAACUCCGGGCCUGCAGUCGAUACGGGCAGACUGGAGUUCGGCAGGGGAGACUGGAAUUCCUGGUGUAGCGGUGAAAUGCGCAGAUAUCAGGAGGAACACCGGUGGCGAAGGCGGGUCUCUGGGCCGAUACUGACGCUGAGGAGCGAAAGCGUGGGGAGCAAACAGG
RNAcentral lists this ribosomal RNA (253 nucleotides) under uncultured bacterium. RNAcentral describes it as "partial 16S ribosomal RNA". It matches the Rfam family "Bacterial small subunit ribosomal RNA", at positions 524 to 776 of the family's 1533-position model. The record is from RNAcentral.